UACCAGCACCCCGAGUGGUCGGGACGUUUUAUUGGGCCUAAAGCAUCCGUAGCCGGUUCUACAAGUCUUCCGUUAAAUCCAACUGCUUAACAGGUGGGCUGCGGAAGAUACUAUAGAGCUAGGAGGCGGGAGAGGCAAGCGGGUACUCGAUGGGGUAGGGGUAAAAUCCGUUGAUCCAUUGAAGACCACCAGUGGCGAAGGCGGCUUGCCAGAACGCGCUCGACGGUGAGGGAUGAAAGCUGGGGGGAGCAACCG
This 255-nucleotide ribosomal RNA is filed under the name uncultured bacterium. RNAcentral's name for it is "partial 16S ribosomal RNA". It matches the Rfam family "Archaeal small subunit ribosomal RNA", at positions 474 to 726 of the family's 1478-position model. The record is from RNAcentral.